Molecule: long non-coding RNA, 209 nt
Filed under: Ananas comosus (pineapple)
Lineage: Eukaryota; Viridiplantae; Streptophyta; Magnoliopsida; Poales; Bromeliaceae
Description: long non-coding RNA (ACOM_LNC009034)
Source: RNAcentral
UUGUAUUCGAUGAUUAGAGAUGUUAAAAAAAAGAAUAUAAACCUUCUAUUUUGAGAAGACAAUGUGGUGUAAAAAGAAAUGAUGAAAAGUAUGUAUAUGUAAAAGAAUCAUGAAUGUAAAGGUUGAAUGCAAUGUAUGUGAUAAAAAAUGUAUCAUAGUACUUGUGUAGAUGUUUAGCUUCCAUUCUUUCACUCUUGGCUAUUGCUUAC